CAGCCGCCGCGGGAAUACGAAGGUCCCGAGCGUUGUUCGGAAUCACUGGGCGUAAAGGGAGCGUAGGCGGCGUGGUAAGUCAGAUGUGAAAUCCCGGGGCUCAACCCCGGAACUGCAUCCGAUACUGCCAUGCUAGAGGAUUGGAGAGGUAGCUGGAAUUCUUGGUGUAGCAGUGAAAUGCGUGGAGAUCAAGAGGAACACUCGUGGCGAAAGCGAGCUACUGGACAAUAACUGACGCUGAGGCUCGAAGGCCAGGGUAGCGAAAGGGAUUAGAUACCCGAGUAGUCCCUGUCUCUUAUAC
Molecule: ribosomal RNA, 301 nt
Filed under: uncultured bacterium
Lineage: Bacteria
Description: partial 16S ribosomal RNA
Rfam family: Bacterial small subunit ribosomal RNA
Source: RNAcentral